GAUGAACGCUAGCGGCAGGCUUAACACAUGCAAGUCGAGGGGCAGCGCGGGAUAGCAAUAUCCUGGCGGCGACCGGCGGAAGGGUGCGUAACGCGUGAGCGACAUGCCCGUUGCCCGGGGACAACCGGUGGAAACGCCGACUAAUCCCCGAUGGGAUACGAUGCUUCAUGGCAUUGUAUUGAAAGUUACGGCGGCGACGGAUUGGCCCGCGUCCGAUUAGCUGGUUGGCGGGGUAACGGCCCACCAAGGCUGCGAUCGGUAGGGGUUCUGAGAGGAAGGCCCCCCAACAUGGGACUGAGACACGGCCCAUACUACUACGGGAGGCAGCAGUGAGGAAUAUUGGUCAAUGGGCGGAAGCCUGAACCAGCCAUGCCGCGUGCGGGAAGGAGGCCCUAUGGGCUGUGAACCGCUUUUGCCUGGGGGCAAUAAGGGCGUCGCGCACGUCCGAUGAGAGUACCAGGCGAAUAAGCAUCGGCUAACUCCGUG
This 486-nucleotide ribosomal RNA is filed under the name uncultured bacterium. RNAcentral describes it as "partial 16S ribosomal RNA". It matches the Rfam family "Bacterial small subunit ribosomal RNA", at positions 28 to 507 of the family's 1533-position model. The record is from RNAcentral.